CCUACGGGAGGCAGCAGUAGGGAAUCUUCGGCAAUGGACGAAAGUCUGACCGAGCAACGCCGCGUGAGUGAAGAAGGUUUUCGGAUCGUAAAACUCUGUUGGUAGAGAAGAACGUUGGUGAGAGUGGAAAGCUCAUCAAGUGACGGUAACUACCCAGAAAGGGACGGCUAAUUAGGUGCAAGCAGCCGCGGUAAUACGUAGGUCCCGAUCGUGGUCCGGAUUUAUUGGGCGUAAGGCGAGCGCAGGUGGUUUAUUAAGUCUAGUGGAAAAGGCAGGGGCUCAACCAUGUUAUGCAUUGGAAACUGGUAGACUGGAGUGCAGGAGAGGAGAGUGGAAGUCCAUGUGUAGCGGUGAAAUGCGUAGAUAUAUGGAGGAACACCGGUGGCGAAAGCGGCUCUCUGGCCUGUAACUGACACUGAGGCUCGAAAGCGUGGGGAGCAAACAGGAUUAGAUACCCUAGUAGUC
RNAcentral lists this ribosomal RNA (465 nucleotides) under uncultured bacterium. Its description in RNAcentral is "partial 16S ribosomal RNA". It matches the Rfam family "Bacterial small subunit ribosomal RNA", at positions 338 to 795 of the family's 1533-position model. The record is from RNAcentral.